This 214-nucleotide non-coding RNA is filed under the name Alphaproteobacteria bacterium. Lineage: Bacteria; Pseudomonadati; Pseudomonadota; Alphaproteobacteria. The record is from RNAcentral.
CUCCUACAAGGCCUUGAUGGUUUUUCCUGGGGUCACUCCGGGAGAAUGAAAAGGGAAUACGGUGUGGAGUAGCCAAAAGGCGCCAAAUCCGUGACUGCCCCCGCAACUGUGAGCGGAGAGCAUUGCUGCAAUAGGCCACUGCCCCUUGGGGUGGGAAGGCGCAGCAGGGCCUCGACCCGCGAGUCAGGAGACCUGCCAUCCAGGAGUUCACCCA